Molecule: ribosomal RNA, 144 nt
Filed under: Cyclopterus lumpus (lumpfish)
Lineage: Eukaryota; Metazoa; Chordata; Actinopteri; Perciformes; Cyclopteridae
Description: partial small subunit ribosomal RNA
Rfam family: Bacterial small subunit ribosomal RNA
Source: RNAcentral
AAACUGGGAUUAGAUACCCCACUAUGCCUAGCCAUAAACAUUGAUAGUAUUUUACACCCACUAUCCGCCCGGGUACUACGAGCAACAGCUUAAAACCCAAAGGACUUGGCGGUGCUUUAGACCCACCUAGAGGAGCCUGUUCUA